CAGCGGAAACUUUUGAAGUUAGUGUGUGUUCUAUGUGAAAAUACAGCUUCAAGUCAAAUUCAUCAUUGCAUCUCCUCUCCACUCAGGAAUUUCAAACUUAACGAAAAGUAAGUCAUUCUGAGCCAUAAUGCAUCUCUACUUUUGACAUUUUCUUGAAUCCCAGCUCCUCCUUUCCUCUUCUCUGUCUGUUCCCUCUUUCUUUGUUUUUGGAGUUCAAAAUUGCAAAUUUUGGGAUGUAGUUAUUCCCUUAUCACGUCUUCUACUCAGAACCCAUAAAAGAUUGAAAGAAGUUUCGGUACGCUGUUACUAAAAACUUAGGAUAUACAUUUUGGUGGCAAAAGAUGAAAACAGAAGUGCGGAUGAGGCUCCUCUUACGGGAGAAGUCACUUAACACGACGUCACACAAACUUGUUUCUAAGAUCAGUGAAGAGCGGCAUGGAAGCUGCAGGGAAAUGAAUCGAAACGAGGAAAAGGGAAAUGUAGAAACAAGUUUUUAAAGAAGUGUCAAGAAAGUAGAGCUUGUAAGCAACACGCAAAACAAAGGGUGACUGUUGACCAUGUGAUAUCCAUGUCAGUGGGGACUAAUCCUAUCGGCCGAUCUACGUGGAAUUAUUGGUAUGUCAUUUUUUCUUCACAACUACAUAUUUAAACUCAUACGUGCCCAAAGAUAAAGACUCACUUAAUGGGUACGACAAUCGAUAGCAGAGCUAAAAAUUUGCAUUUACAAGUAAUUGCUACAAUAAACUAUAAACAAAAUAAAAUUAUAACAUAUUUACAUGCAAAUAUAAUAAAUUUUGUAUUUUUAUUGAAUUCAAAGUAAAAAUAAAUAAAUUAUAAUUUACAUGUGCAAAUAAAUUGCAACAUUCAAAUUAUAAAAUUGAACAAGUAAAUUAAAUUUACUAAACAAUUUUAUUAGUCAUUUGUCCCCCAAAUUACUAUCUUUCCUUUUGAGUUCUCCCUCAAAUAACUUCCUAUCAAUUUUGGGAUACUACUCAAUCACUAAUAAUACCCAAUUUAUUAUUAUUUUAUAUUUUCAUCACUCUCAAUACUAAUUAUAAUAUUUUUUUCACCAUUUUUAAUAUAAUUAUAAUAUUUUUUUUUUCAUACUUUCAAUACACUCAACAACUUUAUCUUAAAACUCGUGUUUCUCCCUCCUAGGAAGUUAUUUAGGGGGACGAAAUGAGAAAUUUGAUUUACAAAAAGAAUUAAAAAUUAAAAAAAAUUGCAUAUUUUAGGAGGUUAACAUGCGGUUUUCGAUCUGCCGGUUAACCGUCGGUUUUUAGUUCGCUACAAAGAGGUUUGUAACCAAAUCGGGUAUACAGUGAUUUCGGUUCUGGUUCCAACUCGUGGUCAAUGGUUUCAUGUUCAGAUCAUUGAUCACAGGCUGAUUCACCUGAUUCCAAUUGGCCCUAAACGUCACUAAACAUAGAUAUUUACGAAACCUAUCGAAAACACGAAUGACGCAAGAAAAUUAAAGAAAAGUAUGAUGAGAGACGAAGAGAAGAAAUUUAUUUUACUCUAAAUUCAAUAUGUCUCUAAUGUUUGUGUUGUGAAAAAGUAAAAGGGGAAGGAGGGUAAAAUAAUUUAAAAAAUAGUAGUAAUAUUUAAUAUUUUAUAAUGCUAAAAAAAAAUUUGGGGUUAUAGGUUGUACCCCAUUGCACCAGCUUCAUCUAUUGAGAACUACUGUCUCCGUCCUGCGAAGCUUGAGCAUUUUUUUUAUAUUGUAAAAGUUUUUCCCUUUAUUCACAUUUUCACUUUUUCACCUAACACACUUAACACACAAAAGACUAACUCCUUAAAACUUUUGUCAAAAAUAAAUUGCUCAAGAUUCGUGGGACGGAGGGAUUAUUAUAUAUUUUGUUCUAUAUAUUUAUUUUAAUUCUAAUAUUUCAUGAAUUAUUAUUAUUUUAUUAUUUGAUGUUAAAAAAAUAAACAAUUGAACUUUAAUUUUAUGUAAUCUAUAAAAUUAAUUAUAUCAAUAAUAAUUUAUGAGAUAUCAAAAUAAGCAAACUUUGAAAUAUACUGCUAAUAUGUACUAAACGUGAAAGAUAAUAACUUUAUAAUCUUUAAAACUAUUUAUUUAUUUUAAAAAAUUGAUGCCAUAUGAAAAUUUCUUAGUGGCAUAUACUAAUAGCAAAAUACUACUUAAUUAAAUGUAAUAUGAAACACGUUUGGUAACACCUCAAGGCUGUUCAAUAUGGACUUAAGGGUCAUGCUUCGAGAACUGUACCUCGUCAUCCGGUCCAAUCGUAAUCAACGGUAAUAAUCUUAAAUCUAGAAACACUUGAAUUUGUUACACCUCUGUCUUAAUUUAAAAGGCCAUAAAGCUUGAACACGAAUAUUAAAAUAUAAAUAAUUUAUAAUAAAAUAAAAAAUAAAAGUAACUUUUCUAUAACAUAAAUUUGUGAAAAAAAUAAGAGAGAGAAAUAAAGAUACUGCCUUGAUCACACUCUAAUAUGUUCGUUUUUCUUUUUAAAACGUCUCACUAGAAUAGGCUCGUUUCCAUUUUGAAUAAUAAAAAAUGUACUCCCUCCGUCCCAAACGAAAUGUCCUAUUUCUUUUCGGCACGGAGAUUAAGAAAUGUGUAUAAAGUAGAUAAAGUGGGUUGGUGAAAAUUAUUUAAAUAUUAAGUAUAGAGAGAGUGUAUUGCCAAAAAAGGAAAUAGGACAUUUCGUUUGGGACAGCCCAAAAAGGAAAACAUGACAUUUCGUUUGGGACGGAGGGAGUAUUUAAUUAGUGUGGACCAUAUCACUUUUCUUCUAAAAAAUAAAUUUCUUAAUCUCCGUGUCUAAACAAAGUGAGAUUGUUAGAGUGAGACGAAAAGAGUAUUACUUUCUCUGUCCACGAAAGAAAUUCCUACUUUUCCUUUUUGGGACGUCUACGAAAUAAUUUUCUACUUAUUUUUGAACUAUAUACUUUUUAUUUUUCACCACUCUCAAUACUAACUAUAGCAUAUUUUUACCAUUCACAAUACACUCAACAACCGUUUCUCACACUUAACAACUUUUUCCUUAGAACUUGUGUCACUCCCUCUUAAGAAAUUUUUUCGUGGAUGGAUGAAGUAUUUUUUAAGUGAAAGAAGAGAUAAUUUUGUGGGGGCCACGAUAGCAUUUGAUGUAAAUAAUGAGUUGCGUAAGGGUAUUUAUUAUGUAUAAUUUUUCAUUUUAAAAAGUGGUAUAUUAAAUUGAGACGUCAAAAUAAGAAAACAUGGUCUAUUAAAUUGAGACGGAGGGAGUAUAACUUAUAAGAGCUCCACUCUUGUGCGCUCCAAGGGCCUUGAGCGCAUGAUGAGGUCCAAGCAUCCACCUCACGUUUUUUGACUCUUUGUCCUUCAACUCUCGUCCCUUUAGUGAUUUUUUUUAAUUAAUAGUAUUAUUUAAAAUGUCAAUUUCUUAGUAAGAAUAUACUAAGUCUUAUAUGUAAAUGAUACUCGUAUGUUGUACUCACACUAAAUGACAUUUUUAUUUAUG
Long non-coding RNA from Salvia miltiorrhiza (redroot sage), 3470 nucleotides. RefSeq lists it as uncharacterized. Lineage: Eukaryota; Viridiplantae; Streptophyta; Magnoliopsida; Lamiales; Lamiaceae. The transcript has 4 exons. The record is from RefSeq and is a predicted model, not a curated record.